UCGCGCUAGGUGGGCAGUUGGCGGUUGCCUGUACUCCAAAUCCGCCUUAUGGGAGGCUGAAUCCCCACCCGAGGCUUCGCUGCUCGGGGAUUGGUUUCCCGGCAAGUAGCGUUGACGGCUGGGUCCCGCGCGAGUGACCGGAGUGAACCAGGUCAGGUCGGGAACGAAGCAGCCUUAAGCUUCAAGGCACUGCGCCGCGGGGGCACCUGGCCCGAGCUGGCUACCGGGGUAACACCCCGGAGCAGGAAGUCGAAGGUGGGUGCGCGA
This 267-nucleotide signal recognition particle RNA is filed under the name Actinomycetota bacterium. Its description in RNAcentral is "signal recognition particle sRNA large type". It matches the Rfam family "Bacterial large signal recognition particle RNA". From Rfam's summary of the family: The signal recognition particle (SRP) is a universally conserved ribonucleoprotein involved in the co-translational targeting of proteins to membranes. Archaeal SRP consists of a 7S RNA and homologues of the eukaryotic SRP19 and SRP54 proteins. In most bacteria, the SRP consists of a 4.5S RNA and the Ffh protein (a homologue of the eukaryotic SRP54 protein). The record is from RNAcentral. Lineage: Bacteria; Bacillati; Actinomycetota.